CAGCAUCAAUGCUUGGCAAAGUGGGGGAGGAGGCAAAGGAUACGAGAGUGUGAAAAAUAAUUUCCUGCCGCUGAUAUGUGGCGGAUCGGACGAGAAGAAAAGUCCUGGCCGGGGGAUAUCAAAAUAUUAUUCGAGGGUUACCUAGGGUAGCUCCGCAUUCUCGCGCCAUAUAGGAGCCCUGUUGAAGCUAAAGUGGAUGGUUAUUGCCCUCAACCUGACCGCACAGGCUGGCACACUCGACUACCUCAUGGCGGAGAAUGUAUCUCACCGUUUCUCAUUUUAUUCUGCAAAAAUUAAAAGACAGGAACUGUGCGAGUAAAAUCGUCCAUCGGUUCCGGUAUCACCACGAAUCCACGAUCCAGAAGUAGGUGCAGGCGCGCGCGCGUGUUUGCGCCCAGUUGGGAAGCGUUGCACUCUCACACAUGCGCGCACAAGUACAGCAAGUACUUACAAUUAGUACGGGGAACGCAGCCCCAAGCUGUGAGAGACGGUCGAUAUGUGGUCACAAUGAAGGGUGUGGCGUUCGAGGACCAAAAGCUCUCUCCUGUCCGCUUUAUCCUACCAUUGGCUGUUGCCAGGUGUCGAGAAUGGCGGACCUUUCUCGCCGUGGCCCUCCGGCUUCUCUUAACAACACUUCAAGUCUUCUCGCCACCGCCACCAAAGAUUUUGCUUUAAUUGCGACACGUGGAAUGGAAGCAGCUUUCUGAUUUGCGAUUACACGCGUUAGUGUAGUUCUUAGAUCCUUAGAUUAUUGAAUCAUUGUACAUUCGUAAUUAAUCUUUAGUAUUCCUUGUUGCAUUCAAGUUCCUUGUUUCAUUGUUGUAGUGUAGUACAGUGUUAUAGUAGAUUAUAUUUCUUUCUUUUGUUUAAUGUGAUGUUGAAAGUGCUGAUAGAAUAUUUACUUUAAUUUUGGUUGUUUUCAGUUAUAGUAUACUCAGAUAGUAGAAUCAUAGUACGGUAUAGUAUAUACAUUGUAUACUUGUAUGUGGUAUUAAAUAUUUUUGAUUUAUUGAUAUUGACAUUAUUUAUUUGAUUUAUUGGA
Long non-coding RNA from Bombus terrestris (buff-tailed bumblebee), 1042 nucleotides. RefSeq lists it as uncharacterized. The record is from RefSeq and is a predicted model, not a curated record. Lineage: Eukaryota; Metazoa; Arthropoda; Insecta; Hymenoptera; Apidae. The transcript is spliced from 3 exons.